GAGUUUGAUCCUGGCUCAGGCUGAACGCUGGCGGCGUGCUUAACACAUGCAAGUCGAGCGAUGAAGUUUCCUUCGGGAAACGGAUUAGCGGCGGACGGGUGAGUAACACGUGGGUAACCUGCCUCAUAGAGUGGAAUAGCCUUCCGAAAGGAAGAUUAAUACCGCAUAAUGUUGAAAGAUGGCAUCAUUAUUCAACCAAAGGAGCAAUCCGCUAUGAGAUGGACCCGCGGCGCAUUAGCUAGUUGGUGGGGUAACGGCCUACCAAGGCGACGAUGCGUAGCCGACCUGAGAGGGUGAUCGGCCACAUUGGGACUGAGACACGGCCCAGACUCCUACGGGAGGCAGCAGUGGGGAAUAUUGCACAAUGGGGGAAACCCUGAUGCAGCAACGCCGCGUGAGUGAUGAAGGUUUUCGGAUCGUAAAGCUCUGUCUUUGGGGAAGAUAAUGACGGUACCCAAGGAGGAAGCCACGGCUAACUACGUGCCAACAGCCGCGGUAAUACGUAGGUGGCGAGCGUUAUCCGGAUUUACUGGGCGUAAAGGGAGCGUAGGCGGAUGAUUAAGUGGGAUGUGAAAUACCCGGGCUCAACUUGGGUGCUGCAUUCCAAACUGGUUAUCUAGAGUGCAGGAGAGGAGAGUGGAAUUCCUAGUGUAGCGGUGAAAUGCGUAGA
Molecule: ribosomal RNA, 670 nt
Filed under: uncultured bacterium
Lineage: Bacteria
Description: bacterial SSU rRNA
Rfam family: Bacterial small subunit ribosomal RNA
Source: RNAcentral